This 103-nucleotide small nuclear RNA is filed under the name Prolemur simus (greater bamboo lemur). The record is from RNAcentral. Lineage: Eukaryota; Metazoa; Chordata; Mammalia; Primates; Lemuridae.
GCUCACUUUGACAGCAUAUAACAAAAUUGGAAUAAUACAGAGAAGAUUAGCAUGGCCCCUGCACAAAGAUGACAUGCAAAUUCAUGAAGCAUUCCAUAUUUUU